AGCCACACUUUCACUGAAACAAGGGGAAGACAUUUUGGCAGCAGUAGAGAAUCUUGUGCAAUGGGUAAACGCUUGACACAGGGUUUCACACUGAGGUCUGUCUAACUAAGUGCCAGCAGACGCCCUAUACUAGAUCAUCACGCGGGCCAGAGCGGUCAUUAGAUGAUGGUUGAGGCCGUCGUCAGAUAACAAUAAAUGUUAUCCUUAACCCUAUUAUGGAUUAAGUCAGGUGUCAUGGUCUUUAUGGAAUGGGAUAUUAUGCGCUACAUUCUCCUAUACAAUAUAUACACAGUAAAUUAGGAGGCGGAGAUUCUCUGAAACGGGAAUCUUAAGUAGGAUUUGAUAGUAAUCGGGAAGUAGAGCGUUCCGGUGAACUCUAACCCAGUGUUAGCACAAAUCGCCCGUCGUCCCCUUCAAGUUAAGGAUACGAGACGCCCCGCCAAUCUACAUUAAGGCGGGGUUAUCCCUCCUUUUCGAGAAUGGGUAAGUCGUAACAUAGUAAGGGUAAGGGAACUUGUUCUUGGGCCAAGCUGCAGGCUACGUUCAAUACGUACUUGGCCGCCCUCUUGUAGCUUCGCAGU
This 581-nucleotide ribosomal RNA is filed under the name Briareum asbestinum (deadman's fingers). RNAcentral's name for it is "small subunit ribosomal RNA". It matches the Rfam family "Bacterial small subunit ribosomal RNA", at positions 306 to 1533 of the family's 1533-position model. The record is from RNAcentral. Lineage: Eukaryota; Metazoa; Cnidaria; Anthozoa; Scleralcyonacea; Briareidae.